RNAcentral lists this ribosomal RNA (732 nucleotides) under Triticum aestivum (bread wheat). RNAcentral describes it as "partial small subunit ribosomal RNA". Lineage: Eukaryota; Viridiplantae; Streptophyta; Magnoliopsida; Poales; Poaceae. The record is from RNAcentral.
AUGGAGCCUCGACUUAAACUUAGCAAGAAAAGCCAAGCACCCGCGGUUGAUGCAACGGAGUAUAGAAGUGUGGUUGGAAGCCUAAGGUAUCUUGUGAAUACACGACCAGACUUGGCAUAUUCCGUUGGCGUAGUGAGUCGCUUUAUGGAAGCACCCACGACAGAACAUUGGGCAGCUGUGAAACAAAUACUCAGGUACAUCAAAGGGACAACUAACUUCGGCUGUGUCUAUUUGAGAGAGAAGCGGAAGGAGAUGGUGGAGCUACUUGGCUACAGUGAUAGCGACUUGGCAGGAGAUAUUGACGACCGUAAAAGUACCUCGGGCGUGGCAUAUUUCUUGGGAAGAAGCAUAGUGAGUUGGCUAUCACAAAAGCAGAAGGUGGUCGCAUUAUCAUCCUGUGAAGCGGAGUAUAUUGCAGCUGCAACCGCGGCAGGUCAAGGUGUGUGGCUAGAAAGGCUACUCGGUGACCUCACUGACAAGGAACCAGAAGGAGUGGUGCUCUACGUUGACAACAAGUCCACGAUUGCUCUAUGUAAGAAUCAAGUGCAUCAUGAUAGAAGUAAGCACAUUGAUAUAAGGUAUCACUACAUACGAGAUUGCGUGGAAGAAGGCAAGAUUGAAGUCAACUACAUUUGCACCGAUGAUCAGCUUGCAGAUAUCCUGACCAAGUCUUUGGGGCGACAGAAGUUCACGGAGAUGCGGGGAAGGAUCGGCGUCCAAGCUGUGAAGUGA